UAGUAAAAAUUUCAUGUAUUUCUAUUAUUAAAAACUGGCCCUGAUAACAGAAUAACCAAAAAGUUACAUGUGGCAUGUCAGGUGUACCUCAUUCUGACUUAUAGGGACUAAUUUUUAAUAAUAAAAAUGGAUAGAAUUUUUAACA
This is a non-coding RNA of Gossypium hirsutum (cotton), 145 nucleotides long. The record is from Rfam. NCBI's taxonomy places the organism in Eukaryota, Viridiplantae, Streptophyta, Magnoliopsida, Malvales, Malvaceae.